RNAcentral lists this ribosomal RNA (429 nucleotides) under Chloroflexota bacterium. RNAcentral describes it as "Chloroflexi bacterium partial 16S ribosomal RNA". It matches the Rfam family "Bacterial small subunit ribosomal RNA", at positions 355 to 776 of the family's 1533-position model. Lineage: Bacteria; Bacillati; Chloroflexota. The record is from RNAcentral.
UGGGGAAUAUUGCACAAUGGGCGCAAGCCUGAUGCAGCCAUGCCGCGUGUGUGAAGAAGGCCUUCGGGUUGUAAAGCACUUUCAGCGGGGAGGAAGGCGAUAAGGUUAAUAACCUCAUCGAUUGACGUUACCCGCAGAAGAAGCACCGGCUAACUCCGUGCCAGCAGCCGCGGUAAUACGGAGGGUGCAAGCGUUAAUCGGAAUUACUGGGCGUAAAGCGCACGCAGGCGGUCUGUCAAGUCGGAUGUGAAAUCCCCGGGCUCAACCUGGGAACUGCAUUCGAAACUGGCAGGCUAGAGUCUUGUAGAGGGGGGUAGAAUUCCAGGUGUAGCGGUGAAAUGCGUAGAGAUCUGGAGGAAUACCGGUGGCGAAGGCGGCCCCCUGGACAAAGACUGACGCUCAGGUGCGAAAGCGUAGGGAGCAAACAGG